CGAAAGCCUGACGGAGCAAGACCGCGUGGGGGAGGAAUGCCUUAGGGUUGUAAACCCCUUUUAUCUGGGAAGAACAAAAUGACGGUACCAGAUGAAUAAGCCUCGGCUAACUCCGUGCCAGCAGCCGCGGUAAUACGGAGGAGGCAAGCGUUAUCCGGAAUGAUUGGGCGUAAAGCGUCCGCAGGUGGCAAUGUAAGUCUGCUGUCAAAACCCAGGGCUCAACUCUGGUCAGGCAGUGGAAACUACAUAGCUAGAGUUCGGUAGGGGCAAAGGGAAUUCCCGGUGUAGCGGUGAAAUGCGUAGAGAUCGGGAAGAACAUCGGUGGCGAAAGCGCUUUGCUAGACCGAAACUGACACUCAGGGACGAAAGCUAGGGGAGCG
Molecule: ribosomal RNA, 380 nt
Filed under: uncultured cyanobacterium
Lineage: Bacteria; Bacillati; Cyanobacteriota
Description: bacterial SSU rRNA
Rfam family: Bacterial small subunit ribosomal RNA
Source: RNAcentral